Cataglyphis hispanica is the source of this 704-nucleotide long non-coding RNA. RefSeq lists it as uncharacterized. The transcript is spliced from 3 exons. Lineage: Eukaryota; Metazoa; Arthropoda; Insecta; Hymenoptera; Formicidae. The record is from RefSeq and is a predicted model, not a curated record.
AGAACGGCGGCUUUACAUCGGGAUUCGUUCGAUACUUGUUGGCAUUUACCACGAGAUCUAAUAGACAAAAGAAAUUGAAGGAAAUUUAUAUACUCGAUUUUAUAUACAUGAAUAACUUUUUGCAAGAUUAUUCUAAUGAUUACCCAAAUCAGCCUUGACAAAGGGCGAUAUUUUCUUCGGGGGUUGACGGACCGGUGGAGGCGAUGGCGAACAAGGUGGCGUCGGCAAACCGGAUGCGCUGGUGAUGUCCAACGAUUGCAGCCAGGAGAGGCUCGUCAAUUCGGCCUCGACUCCGUCGUAAUCGUCUGGACUGUUACUGUCCACUGCGCCGGCGGAAGCAGUGGUUUGCAGAAUCGUCGAUGCAAUACUUUGAAUUCGUGUGAUUCAUUGGCUUAUCAAAAUAUCUCCUGACGUCACGACAAAGAUAGGAUAUCACUUGGCGCGAAAAAAAGGUUUUUCUCUUUCUUUGUUUGAUUUCACGCAUUAAUAUUAUGUAUCAAUAUGAUACACAUUUUACAAUUUACUUAAAUUUUUAAGUACAUGUCACAUUCUUUAUAGAGAAAAUGCACUUUUCAAUGACGCGUCAUCCGUCGACAUUUGUUCGUGGAAAGAGAGGCAAAACAUCGAUCACCAUCUCCCGAUACGUAGAAAGAGAGAGAGAAAAGUUUCGACAAAAAUUUAUAAAAUUUGCACCAAGAAAAAUA